AACGUCCCAGUUCGGAUUGCAGGCUGCAACCCGCCUGCAUGAAGCUGGAAUCGCUAGUAAUCGCGGAUCAGAAUGCCGCGGUGAAUACGUUCCCGGGUCUUGUACACACCGCCCGUCACACCAUGGGAGUCGGUAACGCCCGAAGUCAGUGACCCAACCGGAAGGAGGGAGCUGCCGAAGGCGGGACUGGUAACUGGGGUGAAGUCGUAACAAGGUAAC
This 219-nucleotide ribosomal RNA is filed under the name uncultured bacterium. RNAcentral's name for it is "partial 16S ribosomal RNA". It matches the Rfam family "Bacterial small subunit ribosomal RNA", at positions 1282 to 1500 of the family's 1533-position model. The record is from RNAcentral.